AGUGAACGCUGGCGGUAGGCCUAACACAUGCAAGUCGAACGGCAGCACAGUAAGAGCUUGCUCUUACGGGUGGCGAGUGGCGGACGGGUGAGGAAUACAUCGGAAUCUACUUUUUCGUGGGGGAUAACGUAGGGAAACUUACGCUAAUACCGCAUACGACCUACGGGUGAAAGCAGGGGAUCUUCGGACCUUGCGCGAUUGAAUGAGCCGAUGUCGGAUUAGCUAGUUGGCGGGGUAAAGGCCCACCAAGGCGACGAUCCGUAGCUGGUCUGAGAGGAUGAUCAGCCACACGGGAACUGAGACACGGUCCAGACUCCUACGGGAGGCAGCAGUGGGGAAUAUUGGGCAAUGGGCGCAAGCAUGAUCCAGCCAUACCGCGUGGGUGAAGAAGGCCUUCGGGUUGUAAAGCCCUUUUGUUGGGAAAGAAAAGCAGCAGGUUAAUACCCCGCUGUUCUGACGGUACCCAAAGAAUAAGCACCGGCUAACUUCGUG
RNAcentral lists this ribosomal RNA (492 nucleotides) under uncultured bacterium. RNAcentral's name for it is "partial 16S ribosomal RNA". It matches the Rfam family "Bacterial small subunit ribosomal RNA", at positions 29 to 507 of the family's 1533-position model. The record is from RNAcentral.